Molecule: ribosomal RNA, 424 nt
Filed under: uncultured bacterium
Lineage: Bacteria
Description: bacterial SSU rRNA
Rfam family: Bacterial small subunit ribosomal RNA
Source: RNAcentral
UGGGGAAUAUUGGACAAUGGGCGAAAGCCUGAUCCAGCAAUGCCGCGUGGAUGAAGAAGGUCUUCGGAUUGUAAAGUCCUUUCGGCGGGGACGAUGAUGACGGUACCCGCAGAAGAAGCCCCGGCUAACUUCGUGCCAGCAGCCGCGGUAAUACGAAGGGGGCUAGCGUUGCUCGGAAUGACUGGGCGUAAAGGGCGCGUAGGCGGUUUGUUUAGUUAGGUGUGAAAUUCCUGGGCUUAACCUGGGGGCUGCACUUAAUACAGGCAGACUAGAGUUCGGAAGAGGGUUGUGGAAUUCCCAGUGUAGAGGUGAAAUUCGUAGAUAUUGGGAAGAACACCGGUGGCGAAGGCGGCAACCUGGUCCGAUACUGACGCUGAGGCGCGAAAGCGUGGGGAGCAAACAGGAUUAGAUACCCGUGUAGUCC